AGCGAACGCUGGCGGCAGGCUUAACACAUGCAAGUCGAGCGGGCAUCUUCGGAUGUCAGCGGCAGACGGGUGAGUAACACGUGGGAACGUACCCUUCGGUUCGGAACAACUCUGGGAAACUGGAGCUAAUACCGGAUACGCCCUUAUGGGGAAAGGUUUACUGCCGCAGGAUCGGCCCGCGUCUGAUUAGCUAGUUGGUGGGGUAACGGCCUACCAAGGCGACGAUCAGUAGCUGGUCUGAGAGGAUGAUCAGCCACACUGGGACUGAGACACGGCCCAGACUCCUACGGGAGGCAGCAGUGGGGAAUAUAGGACAAUGGGCGCAAGCCUGAUCCAGCCAUGCCGCGUGAGUGAUGAAGGCCGUAGGGUUGUAAAGCUCUUUUGUCCGGGACGAUAAUGACGGUACCGGAAGAAUAAGCCCCGGCUAACUUCGUG
Molecule: ribosomal RNA, 435 nt
Filed under: uncultured bacterium
Lineage: Bacteria
Description: partial 16S ribosomal RNA
Rfam family: Bacterial small subunit ribosomal RNA
Source: RNAcentral